This 468-nucleotide ribosomal RNA is filed under the name uncultured bacterium. RNAcentral describes it as "partial 16S ribosomal RNA". It matches the Rfam family "Bacterial small subunit ribosomal RNA", at positions 28 to 507 of the family's 1533-position model. The record is from RNAcentral.
GACGAACGCUGGCGGCGUGCUUAACACAUGCAAGUCGAACGGAAAGGCCCUGCUUUGGUGGGGUGCUCGAGUGGCGAACGGGUGAGUAACACGUGAGUAACCUGCCCUUGACUUUGGGAUAACUUCAGGAAACUGGGGCUAAUACCGGAUAGGAGCUCCUGCUGCAUGGUGUGGGUUGGAAAGUUUCGGCGGUUGGGGAUGGACUCGCGGCUUAUCAGCUUGUUGGUGGGGUAGUGGCUUACCAAGGCUUUGACGGGUAGCCGGCCUGAGAGGGUGACCGGCCACAUUGGGACUGAGAUACGGCCCAGACUCCUACGGGAGGCAGCAGUGGGGAAUAUUGCACAAUGGGCGGAAGCCUGAUGCAGCAACGCCGCGUGCGGGAUGACGGCCUUCGGGUUGUAAACCGCUUUCGCCUGUGACGAAGCGUGAGUGACGGUAAUGGGUAAAGAAGCGCCGGCUAACUACGUG